This 324-nucleotide ribosomal RNA is filed under the name uncultured eukaryote. RNAcentral describes it as "partial 18S ribosomal RNA". It matches the Rfam family "Eukaryotic small subunit ribosomal RNA", at positions 1470 to 1796 of the family's 1831-position model. The record is from RNAcentral.
CCCUUAGAUGUUCUGGGCUGCACGCGCGCUACACUGAAGCUAUCAACACGUUUUCCCUCCCUGAGAAGGGCGGGUAACCUUUUGAAUCAGCUUCGUGGUAGGGAUCGGGGCUUGCAAUUGUUCCCCGUGAACCAGGAAUUCCUAGUAGACGCGAGUCAUAAGCUCGCAUCGAUUAAGUCCCUGCCCUUUGUACACACCGCCCGCCGCUACUACCGAUUGAACGUUUUAGUGAGGCAUUUGGACCGACGCAUCUCAGUUUAACCGCUGGUUUGUGUUGGAAAGACUUCCAAACUUGAGCGUUUAGAGGAAGUAAAAGUCGUAACA